AGAAGAUGAUCAUAAUGUCUUGGGAAAGACAGGUUUCGUCCAUGGUCACAAGGUUAAUGAUGAGAAGACUGCAGCAAAGGUCAAGUACAAUCAGCUACGCAAACGGAUGCAAGAGUGUGAAAGUGGCACCAUAGGCAUACUCAACAAGAUCUAAGGGUCCUCCUCCUCCUCCUUCUCCUCUGAGUCCCCCCAGAAACAGGAACAAAGGAAAGAUGGGAGAUAAUGAAGCAAAAAAGAAAAUUGAAGGGACUUCUCAAGGUACCCCAAUCACCAAAGAGACUGCUGCUCAUUUGGAGAAAACUUUGCUAAGGUUUCGAGAGGAACUAGACUAGGUCCGGAGUUUGGCAAGUUUGUCCAUCUCCCUUUCUGCUGUAGAU
RNAcentral lists this long non-coding RNA (377 nucleotides) under Nicotiana benthamiana. RNAcentral's name for it is "long non-coding RNA (NBEN_LNC019082)". The record is from RNAcentral. Lineage: Eukaryota; Viridiplantae; Streptophyta; Magnoliopsida; Solanales; Solanaceae.